CAGCCGUAAACAAUGUGCGUUAGGUGUGUCGGUAACCACGCGUUACUGAUGCGCCGAAGAGAAAUCGUGAAACGCACCACCUGGGAAGUACGGUCGCAAGGCUGAAACUUAAAGGAAUUGGCGGGGGAGCACCACAACAGGUGGAGCCUGCGGUUUAAUUGGAUUCAACGCCGGACAUCUCACCGGAUAAGACAGCUGAAUGAUUGUCAAUCUGAAGACUCUGCUUGACUAGCUGAGAGGAGGUGCAUGGCGUCAGUGACU
This 261-nucleotide ribosomal RNA is filed under the name uncultured archaeon. Its description in RNAcentral is "partial 16S ribosomal RNA". It matches the Rfam family "Archaeal small subunit ribosomal RNA", at positions 748 to 1008 of the family's 1478-position model. The record is from RNAcentral.